AACCGCCGUAUACGGAACCGUACGUACGGUGGUGUGAGAGGUCGGUUAGUCAAUUAAUGACUAACCUCCUACUCGAU
Non-coding RNA from Enterococcus cecorum, 77 nucleotides. Lineage: Bacteria; Bacillati; Bacillota; Bacilli; Lactobacillales; Enterococcaceae. The record is from Rfam.